ACAGGGAUGCCUCAGUAACGGCGAGUGAAGCGGCAACAGCUCAAAUUUGAAAGCUGGAGGGUCCGCGUUGUAAUUUGUAGAGGAUGCUUCGGGCGCGGUCUUUGGAACAAGACGUCAUAGAGGGUGAGAAUCCCGUAUGUGACUAGCUGCCUGUGCCUGUGUGAAGCUCCUUCGACGAGUCGAGUUGUUUGGGAAUGCAGCUCAAAAUGGGUGGUGUACUUCAUCUAAAGCUAAAUAUUGGCCAGAGACCGAUAGCGCACAAGUAGAGUGAUCGAAAGAUGAAAAGCACUUUGGAAAGAGAGUUAAACAGUACGUGAAAUUGUUGAAAGGGAAGCGCUUGCAAUCAGACUUGCGCGGCGUCGAUCAGCUGGUGCACUCGGCGCUGCAGGCCAGCAUCAGUUAGCGGUUGGAUAAAGGAACGUGGGUUACUCCCUAGGUGCAAUGCAGCCGUUGGGACUGAGGACCGCGCUUCGGUUGUAAGCGACCCGUCUUGAAACACGGACCAAGGAGUCUAACAUCUAUGCGAGUUUUUGGGUGUAAACCCAUAAGCGUAAUGAAAGUGAACGGAGGUGAGGUGCAUCAUCGACCGAUCCUGAUGUCUUCGGAUGGAUUUGAGUAAGAGCAUAGCUGUUGGGACCCGAAAGAUGGUGAUCUAUACUUGAAUAGGGUGAAGCCAGAGGAAACUCUGGUGGAGGCUCGGUUCUGACGUGCAAAUCGAUCGUCAAAUUUGGGGCGAAAGACUAAUCG
RNAcentral lists this ribosomal RNA (747 nucleotides) under Spathularia flavida. RNAcentral's name for it is "partial large subunit ribosomal RNA". It matches the Rfam family "Eukaryotic large subunit ribosomal RNA", at positions 68 to 937 of the family's 3401-position model. Lineage: Eukaryota; Fungi; Ascomycota; Leotiomycetes; Rhytismatales; Cudoniaceae. The record is from RNAcentral.